RNAcentral lists this small RNA (80 nucleotides) under Flavobacterium swingsii. Its description in RNAcentral is "Flavo-1 RNA". It matches the Rfam family "Flavo-1 RNA". Lineage: Bacteria; Pseudomonadati; Bacteroidota; Flavobacteriia; Flavobacteriales; Flavobacteriaceae. The record is from RNAcentral.
CAAUAGCCCAGAUUGCAACGAAAAUCCUUUUGUUUUUUUCUUUAAAAAAUAAAAGAUUGUAGUGAAAAGCUGGAAAUAGC